UGACCGAUAGUGAACCAGUACCGUGAGGGAAAGGCGAAAAGAACCCCGGCGAGGGGAGUGAAAAAGAACCUGAAACCGUGUACGUACAAGCAGUGGGAGCACCUUCGGGUGUGACUGCGUACCUUUUGUAUAAUGGGUCAGCGACUUAUAUUCUGUAGCAAGGUUAACCGUAUAGGGGAGCCGCAGGGAAACCGAGUCUUAACUGGGCGUUAAGUUGCAGGGUAUAGACCCGAAACCCGGUGAUCUAGCCAUGGGCAGGUUGAAGGUUGGGUAACACUAACUGGAGGACCGAACCGACUAAUGUUGAAAAAUUAGCGGAUGACUUGUGGCUGGGGGUGAAAGGCCAAUCAAACCGGGAGAUAGCUGGUUCUCCCCGAAAGCUAUUUAGGUAGCGCCUCGUGAAUUCAUCUUCGGGGGUAGAGCACUGUUUCGGCUAGGGGGUCAUCCCGACUUACCAACCCGAUGCAAACUACGAAUACCGAAGAAUGUUAUCACGGGAGACACACGGCGGGUGCUAACGUCCGUCGUGAAGAGGGAAACAACCCAGACCGCCAGCUAAGGUCCCAAAGUCAUGGUUAAGUGGGAAACGAUGUGGGAAGGCACAGACAGCCAGGAUGUUGGCUUAGAAGCAGCCAUCAUUUAAAGAAAGCGUAAUAGCUCACUGGUCGAGUCGGCCUGCGCGGAAGAUGUAACGGGGCUAAACCAUGCACCGAAGCUGCGGCAGCGACACUAUGUGUUGUUGGGUAGGGGAGCGUUCUGUAAGCCUGCGAAGGUGACCUGUGAGGGUUGCUGGAGGUAUCAGAAGUGCGAAUGCUGACAUAAGUAACGAUAAAGCGGGUGAAAAGCCCGCUCGCCGGAAGACCAAGGGUUCCUGUCCAACGUUAAUCGGGGCAGGGUGAGUCGACCCCUAAGGCGAGGCCGAAAGGCGUAGUCGAUGGGAAACAGGUUAAUAUUCCUGUACUUGGUGUUACUGCGAAGGGGGGACGGAGAAGGCUAUGUUAGCCGGGCGACGGUUGUCCCGGUUUAAGCAUGUAGGCUGGUUGUCCAGGCAAAUCCGGAUAAUCAAGGCUGAGGUGUGAUGACGAGGCACUACGGUGCUGAAGUAACAAAUGCCCUGCUUCCAGGAAAAGCCUCUAAGCAUCAGGUAACAUUAAAUCGUACCCCAAACCGACACAGGUGGUCAGGUAGAGAAUACCAAGGCGCUUGAGAGAACUCGGGUGAAGGAACUAGGCAAAAUGGUGCCGUAACUUCGGGAGAAGGCACGCUGGUGUGUAGGUGAAGUCCCUGCGGAUGGAGCUGAGACCAGUCGAAGAUACCAGCUGGCUGCAACUGUUUAUUAAAAACACAGCACUGUGCAAACACGAAAGUGGACGUAUACGGUGUGACGCCUGCCCGGUGCCGGAAGGUUAAUUGAUGGGGUUAUCCGUAAGGAGAAGCUCUUGAUCGAAGCCCCGGUAAACGGCGGCCGUAACUAUAACGGUCCUAAGGUAGCGAAAUUCCUUGUCGGGUAAGUUCCGACCUGCACGAAUGGCGUAAUGAUGGCCAGGCUGUCUCCACCCGAGACUCAGUGAAAUUGAACUCGCUGUGAAGAUGCAGUGUACCCGCGGCAAGACGGAAAGACCCCGUGAACCUUUACUAUAGCUUGACACUGAACAUUGAGCCUUGAUGUGUAGGAUAGGUGGGAGGCUUUGAAGCGUGGACGCCAGUCUGCGUGGAGCCAACCUUGAAAUACCACCCUUUAAUGUUUGAUGUUCUAACGUUGGCCCCUUACCGGGGUUGCGGACAGUGUCUGGUGGGUAGUUUGACUGGGGCGGUCUCCUCCCAAAGCGUAACGGAGGAGCACGAAGGUUAGCUAAUCCUGGUCGGACAUCAGGAGGUUAGUGCAAUGGCAUAAGCUAGCUUGACUGCGAGCGUGACGGCGCGAGCAGGUGCGAAAGCAGGUCAUAGUGAUCCGGUGGUUCUGAAUGGAAGGGCCAUCGCUCAACGGAUAAAAGGUACUCCGGGGAUAACAGGCUGAUACCGCCCAAGAGUUCAUAUCGACGGCGGUGUUUGGCACCUCGAUGUCGGCUCAUCACAUCCUGGGGCUGAAGUAGGUCCCAAGGGUAUGGCUGUUCGCCAUUUAAAGUGGUACGCGAGCUGGGUUUAGAACGUCGUGAGACAGUUCGGUCCCUAUCUGCCGUGGGCGCUGGAGAAUUGAGGGGGGCUGCUCCUAGUACGAGAGGACCGGAGUGGACGCAUCACUGGUGUUCGGGUUGUCAUGCCAAUGGCACUGCCCGGUAGCUAAAUGCGGAAGAGAUAAGUGCUGAAAGCAUCUAAGCACGAAACUUGCCCCGAGAUGAGUUCUCCCUGAGACUUUAAGUCUCCUGAAGGAACGUUGAAGACGACGACGUUGAUAGGCCGGGUGUGUAAGCGCAGCGAUGCGUUGAGCUAACCGGUACUAAUGAACCGUGAGGCUUAACCUU
Molecule: ribosomal RNA, 2462 nt
Filed under: Klebsiella pneumoniae subsp. pneumoniae
Lineage: Bacteria; Pseudomonadati; Pseudomonadota; Gammaproteobacteria; Enterobacterales; Enterobacteriaceae
Description: partial 23S ribosomal RNA
Rfam family: Bacterial large subunit ribosomal RNA
Source: RNAcentral